RNAcentral lists this long non-coding RNA (209 nucleotides) under Phoenix dactylifera (date palm). RNAcentral's name for it is "long non-coding RNA (PDAC_LNC012471)". The record is from RNAcentral. Lineage: Eukaryota; Viridiplantae; Streptophyta; Magnoliopsida; Arecales; Arecaceae.
AGACUGCUUGUAAAUGUGACAGGCAAUCAUCAAAUGAAUCGCCAAAAAUAGAGAAAUCAUCCAUAAACACUUCUAAAAAUUUCUCGUUCAUUUCUUCAAAAAUACUGAGCAUGCAUCUUUGGAAUGUUGCAGGUGCAUUACACAACCCGAAUGGCAUCCGACGGAAAGUGAAUGUGCCAAAAGGACAAGUGAAGGUAGUCUUCUCUUGA